RNAcentral lists this ribosomal RNA (254 nucleotides) under uncultured bacterium. RNAcentral's name for it is "partial 16S ribosomal RNA". It matches the Rfam family "Bacterial small subunit ribosomal RNA", at positions 524 to 777 of the family's 1533-position model. The record is from RNAcentral.
UACGAAGGGGGCUAGCGUUGCUCGGAAUCACUGGGCGUAAAGGGUGCGUAGGCGGGUCUUUAAGUCAGGGGUGAAAUCCUGGAGCUCAACUCCAGAACUGCCUUUGAUACUGAGGAUCUUGAGUUCGGGAGAGGUGAGUGGAACUGCGAGUGUAGAGGUGAAAUUCGUAGAUAUUCGGAAGAACACCAGUGGCGAAGGCGGCUCACUGGACUGGUAUUGACGCUGAGGUGCGAAAGCGUGGGGAGCAAACAGGG